This 253-nucleotide ribosomal RNA is filed under the name uncultured bacterium. Its description in RNAcentral is "partial 16S ribosomal RNA". It matches the Rfam family "Bacterial small subunit ribosomal RNA", at positions 524 to 776 of the family's 1533-position model. The record is from RNAcentral.
UACGUAGGGGGCAAGCGUUGUCCGGAAUCAUUGGGCGUAAAGAGCGCGUAGGCGGCCCAGUAAGUCCGCUCUGAAAGUCAGGGGCUCAACCCCUGAAUGCGGGUGGAUACUGCUGGGCUAGAGUCCGGAAGAGGCGAGUGGAAUUCCUGGUGUAGCGGUGAAAUGCGCAGAUAUCAGGAGGAACACCGGUGGCGAAGGCGGAUCUCUGGGCCAUUACUGACGCUGAGGAGCGAAAGCGUGGGGAGCGAACAGG